This is a non-coding RNA of Tetranychus urticae (two-spotted spider mite), 824 nucleotides long. NCBI's taxonomy places the organism in Eukaryota, Metazoa, Arthropoda, Arachnida, Trombidiformes, Tetranychidae. The record is from RefSeq and is a predicted model, not a curated record.
UUUACACACAGUGUUAAUUAAUCUCUUCUAUUCACUGGAUUUCAAGGAAAGGAUUUAUGUAUUCAACAGCGUGAACAGCAAAGUAAAUUUUAAAUCUUUGAUCUUGGUAAACUGUUUUCUCAGUGAAAUUCAAUCCAGUAGAUGAUAUGGAAAGAUUUAAAAGUAAAGCAAAGCUGAUGGUAAAAAAUUUCAUCGCCAAAAUAUUGACGCAGUGAGAAAAGUGCAUUAUCUUAGGAUGUUUUUUUAUUUCCACUUUACACAGUUAAGGAAAAGUAUACAAUGUCAAAUCAGAGUUACGUUAGAAUGUCCAGAAUAGGAGAAAUUGUAAAAAGAAAGAAAAGAAAGCAAAACAAGAAAAGAAGCUGACAAAACAUUAAUUCAGUUUUCAUUCUUAAAGCUUUUGUAUACAUGAGUUCCAACAUUUUUUGCAUCUUCUUCUGACAAGUAGAUGAGGAUGACAAACAAAAGUACAUGAGCAUUUGGUAAACAAACAAGUAAAAUGUUUGAAUAUAAAUAUUGUGAACAAGCAAGAAGACAAAUACAAAGACAAAGACUUGAAGAGAAAACUCAGCAAAAUGAAAUCCAGGAGAGAAAAAAAUAAACCAACCAAAAGGUUUAUUUACCAUACAAGAAUAAGAUUUAAUCAAGUUUUAAAUGGUUAAAACAAUUGUCUAAUGAUUAAAAUGAAAUUUAAAUGUUGAAAAAGCCCAACAAAAAGCGUAGGUUUUGAAAGUAUCUUGAAACAGAUAGAAUUGAAGAUCAAGAACAAUCAAGAUAAUUUUGAUUACUCUACUUUAAUUGAAAUACACAAAAAAUAAGCCAAA